GAACAACUAUUCUUAAAGUUAUAGAGCGUAAAAUGGAGGAAAGGAUCUGUCAAAUGAAUGAUGAUGACUGUGAGAGAGUAGAAGAUGAUCUACUUGGUUGGGUUAUGAAGAAUUCAAACUUUUCCACACAGCAGAUUCUUGAUCUCAUACUAAGCUUGCUUUUUGCUGGUCAUGAAACUUCUUCAGUUGCAAUAGCUUUGGCCAUCUACUUCUUACAAGGUUGCCCCAGAGCAAUUGAACAGUUAAGGGAAGAACACUGAGAAAUCAGCAGAGCUAAGCAACAAUCUGGAGAGAUUGGAUUGACUUGGGACGAUUAUACACAAAUGGAAUUCACACAAUGUGUUAUUAAUGAGACACUUCGGCUAGGGAACGUGGUUAGAUUUGUACACAGAAAAGCUCUUAAAGAUGA
Molecule: long non-coding RNA, 409 nt
Organism: Telopea speciosissima
Lineage: Eukaryota; Viridiplantae; Streptophyta; Magnoliopsida; Proteales; Proteaceae
Exons: 3
Source: RefSeq, a predicted model, not a curated record